UUAUAAAGAAAAUUAGUUCCUAUAUUUAAAAGAAAAAAUGGAAAAAAAAAAAGAAAAUGAGAGGAUGUCAUGUGACCUGAAACAAGCCAUAAAACUACAAGAACAAGAGAACAAAAGUCUUUAUAUUCUGCUUUUCCCUCUCCAUUUUUUUUAAUUUCUUUCUCUUUCUAUGCAUUUCUGCUAUUAUAGUUAGUGCGAUUAUUGGAGAGAGAGACAGUGAGAGGUAGAGAGGAACCCACCUCAGUUUUCGCUUUUUAGGAGUAAGCAGCUACUGUAUUGUAUAUUAUAUAUCAUCAUGUGUAAAAGAAUUUAGAGAGAGAAACACGAAAAGAGCUGAGUGAUUAAGUGGGUGUUUACUGUUUAGACAGAAAAGAGUGACACAUAAAAGGAAGAGGAAGAAGAAGAAGAACAAGAAGAAGAAAGAAGAAAGAAGAAGAAAACGAUGAUGGUGAUGAUGAUGAAGAGAGAGAAAGGUGGUUGGCAGAACAGAUAACAACAACAGAAGAUAAUACACAGACCCAAGAUAGAUUUUGAGAGAGAGAGAGAGAGAGAGAGAUAGAGAGAGAGAAAGAGAGAAAAGANNNNN
RNAcentral lists this long non-coding RNA (586 nucleotides) under Carica papaya (papaya). RNAcentral's name for it is "long non-coding RNA (CPAP_LNC003198)". The record is from RNAcentral. Lineage: Eukaryota; Viridiplantae; Streptophyta; Magnoliopsida; Brassicales; Caricaceae.